ACGGGUGAGUAAUACAUCGGAACGUAUCCUGGAGUGGGGGAUAGCCCGGCGAAAGCCGGAUUAAUACCGCAUACGCUCUGAGGAGGAAAGCGGGGGACCUUCGGGCCUCGCGCUCAAGGGGCGGCCGAUGGCGGAUUAGGUAGUUGGUGGGGUAAAGGCCUACCAAGCCGACGAUCCGUAGCUGGUCUGAGAGGACGACCAGCCACACUGGGACUGAGACACGGCCCAGACUCCUACGGGAGGCAGCAGUGGGGAAUUUUGGACAAUGGGGGCAACCCUGAUCCAGCAAUGCCGCGUGUGUGAAGAAGGCCUUCGGGUUGUAAAGCACUUUUGUCCGGAAAGAAAUCAUCGGGGCCAAUACCCCUGGUGGAUGACGGUACCGGAAGAAUAAGCACCGGCUAACUACGUGCCAGCAGCCGCGGUAAUACGUAGGGUGCGAGCGUUAAUCGGAAUUACUGGGCGUAAAGCGUGCGCAGGCGGUGCUGUAGGACCGAUGUGAAAUCCCCGGGCUUAACCUGGGAACUGCAUUGGUGACUGCAGCGCUGGAGUAUGGCAGAGGGGGGUGGAAUUCCACGU
RNAcentral lists this ribosomal RNA (576 nucleotides) under uncultured bacterium. RNAcentral's name for it is "bacterial SSU rRNA". It matches the Rfam family "Bacterial small subunit ribosomal RNA", at positions 102 to 674 of the family's 1533-position model. The record is from RNAcentral.